RNAcentral lists this small nuclear RNA (136 nucleotides) under Alexandrium margalefii. RNAcentral describes it as "partial Dictyostelium signal recognition particle". Lineage: Eukaryota; Dinophyceae; Gonyaulacales; Pyrocystaceae. The record is from RNAcentral.
CGGCGGAUGAAGUUGCUCGACUGCAAGGAUGGCAUCAGCUAUGCCAGCGGCGGUCCAGAUUCGAAGGGGCACGACAUGACAAAGGUGGAGUUCAAGCUGGAGGACUCACAGAUCUAUGCCCGCUCGGACGGCGGCG